CGGGACGGGUGAGUAACGCGUGGGUAACCUGCCUUGUACAGGGGGAUAACGGUUGGAAACGGCUGCUAAUACCGCAUAAGCGCACGGCAUCGCAUGAUGCAGUGUGAAAAACUCCGGUGGUAUAAGAUGGACCCGCGUUGGAUUAGCUAGUUGGUGAGGUAACGGCCCACCAAGGCGACGAUCCAUAGCCGACCUGAGAGGGUGACCGGCCACAUUGGGACUGAGACACGGCCCAA
This 236-nucleotide ribosomal RNA is filed under the name uncultured bacterium. RNAcentral's name for it is "partial 16S ribosomal RNA". It matches the Rfam family "Bacterial small subunit ribosomal RNA", at positions 100 to 334 of the family's 1533-position model. The record is from RNAcentral.